CCUACGGGCGGCAGCAGUGGGGAAUAUUGCACAAUGGGGGAAACUCUGAUGCAGCGACGCCGCGUGAAGGAAGAAGUAUUUCGGUAUGUAAACUUCUAUCAGCAGGGAAGAAAAUGACGGUACCUGACUAAGAAGCCCCGGCUAACUACGGGCCAGCAGCCGCGGUGAUACGUAGGGGGCAAGCGUUAUCCGGAUUUACUGGGUGGAAAGGGAGCGGAGGCGGUUUAGCAAGUCAGAAGUGAAAGCCCGGGGCUCAACUCCGGGACUGCUUUUGAAACUGUUGAACUAGAUUGCAGGAGAGGUAAGUGGAAUUCCUAGUGUAGCGGUGGAAUGCGUAGAUAUUAGGAGGAACACCAGUGGCGAAGGCGACUUACUGGACUGUAAAUGACGCUGAGGCUCGAAAGCGUGGGGAGCAAACAGGAUUAGAUACCCCAGUAGUC
Molecule: ribosomal RNA, 440 nt
Filed under: uncultured bacterium
Lineage: Bacteria
Description: partial 16S ribosomal RNA
Rfam family: Bacterial small subunit ribosomal RNA
Source: RNAcentral